This 253-nucleotide ribosomal RNA is filed under the name uncultured bacterium. RNAcentral's name for it is "partial 16S ribosomal RNA". It matches the Rfam family "Bacterial small subunit ribosomal RNA", at positions 524 to 776 of the family's 1533-position model. The record is from RNAcentral.
UACGUAGGGUGCAAGCGUUAAUCGGAAUUACUGGGCGUAAAGCGUGCGCAGGCGGUUGUGCAAGACAGGUGUGAAAUCCCCGGGCUUAACCUGGGAACUGCGUUUGAAACUACAAGGCUAGAGUGUAGCAGAGGGGGGUGGAAUUCCACGUGUAGCAGUGAAAUGCGUAGAGAUGUGGAGGAACACCGAUGGCGAAGGCAGCCCCCUGGGUUAACACUGACGCUCAGGCACGAAAGCGUGGGGAGCAAACAGG